GACUCUCUAAAUCGACGCCACUUCGACCUGGGCGGGACUUACCGGGACUUUACGUCCUACGUCACUCGCUAUGGGUCACUCGCUGGGAGUGCAUGUGUGCGCGUAGCCGUUUGUCUCCGGGAUCUGUGCACGAACGGUUGUGUCGAACGCGAUGGGGGAUCCACCCUGGGUACCGUCGUAUUUUAAAAUAAUAAAUACAAGCAAUGGAUACAUUUCUGGAUUUGUCCAGACUCAAAAAGAAUUGGAGAGUCUGCUGGAGGUCCACUCAAGGGCCACACUGACAUUGUUUGUCAAAUGGUCUGAACACAUAAAAGAUGGCACCAAAGAGAGGCAUCUAUGGCAGGUGGAGGAUUUCAAUGAAGACACCCCUCUAUGUGUAAAGAAAAGAAUGGUCCUUGCUUGUCAGCAUGGCAAAGCUCGACAGAAAAAAGAAAAGGAGAAACGUUCAGCAGAGCAUGUAUACACAAAAAAACGUUUUCAUGUCCAAAAUGGGAAGAAGUUGGACUGCCCAGCUAAACUUUUCAUUCGGCAUGUGCUGAGAUAUGACUCAUUCAGUGUGAGAGGGGAUGCCACAAAAUCCCAUAAAGAAGACACUAUGAGAAAUCUUAAGAUAGCACUUCAAAACUCAGAAAACCCACCAACCUCUACAUUCAUUCAUCUAAAAAUUCCUCUAUUGGAAGUUCACAAUCAUACAAUUGGAGCAGGAUCCUGUUUUUCAAGACCGAUCCAUCCAAAACUAAAAAAUCAAAUUCAGGUGAUGGUCGGACAAGGGAUAACUAAUAUAGCUUUCGUGAAGAGAGCCUUGAAGCAGUAUGUGCUAAAUGACUUGUGAGGAGAGAGGAUCCUGGAUGGAGGAGGGGAGAGGAUGCUGGAUGGAGGAGGAGAGAGGAUCCUGGAUGGAGGAGGAGGAGAGAGGAUGCUAGAUGGAGGAGGAGGAGAGAGGAUGCUAGAUGGAGGAGGGGAGAGGAUGCUGGAUGGAGGAGGAGGAGAGAGGAUCCUGGAUGGAGGAGGGGAGAGGAUGCUGGAUGGAGGAGGAGGGGAGAGGAUGCUGGAUGGAGGAGGAGGGGAGAGGAUGCUGGAUGGAGGAGGGGAGAGGAUGCUGGAUGGAGGAGGAGGAGAGAGGAUGCUAGAUGGAGGAGGAGGAGAGAGGAUGCUAGAUGGAGGAGGGGAGAGGAUGCUG
This is a long non-coding RNA of Gadus macrocephalus (Pacific cod), 1180 nucleotides long. RefSeq lists it as uncharacterized. The record is from RefSeq and is a predicted model, not a curated record. NCBI's taxonomy places the organism in Eukaryota, Metazoa, Chordata, Actinopteri, Gadiformes, Gadidae. The transcript has 6 exons.